UGGGGAAUAUUGCGCAAUGGGGGAAACCCUGACGCAGCGACGCCGCGUGAGCGAUGAAGGCCUUAGGGUUGUAAAGCUCUGUUUUAAGGGACGAAUGUUACGGGGAGUAAUAUACCCUGUAAAUGACGGUACCUUAAGAGGAAGCCCCGGCUAACUACGUGCCAGCAGCCGCGGUAAGACGUAGGGGGCGAGCGUUGUCCGGAAUUACUGGGCGUAAAGAGCACGUAGGCGGGAACUUAAGUCAGGUGUGAAAGACCGGGGCUCAA
Molecule: ribosomal RNA, 266 nt
Filed under: uncultured bacterium
Lineage: Bacteria
Description: partial 16S ribosomal RNA
Rfam family: Bacterial small subunit ribosomal RNA
Source: RNAcentral